RNAcentral lists this ribosomal RNA (742 nucleotides) under uncultured bacterium. RNAcentral's name for it is "bacterial SSU rRNA". It matches the Rfam family "Bacterial small subunit ribosomal RNA", at positions 8 to 796 of the family's 1533-position model. The record is from RNAcentral.
AGAGUUUGAUCAUGGCUCAGAGCGAACGCUGGCGGCAGGCUUAACACAUGCAAGUCGAACGGGCACUUCGGUGCUAGUGGCAGACGGGUGGGUAACACGUGGGGACGUACCUUUCGGUUCGGAAUAAUUCAGGGAAACUUGGACUAAUACCGGAUAAGCCCUUCGGGGGAAAGAUUUAUCGCCGAUAGAUCGGCCCGCGUCUGAUUAGCUAGUUGGUGAGGUAAUGGCUCACCAAGGCGACGAUCAGUAGCUGGUCUGAGAGGAUGAUCAGCCACAUUGGGACUGAGACACGGCCCAAACUCCUACGGGAGGCAGCAGUGGGGAAUAUUGGACAAUGGGCGAAAGCCUGAUCCAGCCAUGCCGCGUGUGUGAUGAAGGCCUUAGGGUUGUAAAGCACUUUUGUCCGGGAAGAUAAUGACUGUACCGGAAGAAUAAGCCCCGGCUAACUUCGUGCCAGCAGCCGCGGUAAUACGAAGGGGGCUAGCGUUGCUCGGAAUCACUGGGCGUAAAGGGCGCGUAGGCGGACUCUUAAGUCGGGGGUGAAAGCCCAGGGCUCAACCCUGGAAUUGCCUUCGAUACUGAGAGUCUUGAGUUCGGAAGAGGUUGGUGGAACUGCGAGUGUAGAGGUGAAAUUCGUAGGUAUUCGCAAGAACACCAGUGGCGAAGGCGGCCAACUGGUCCGAUACUGACGCUGAGGCGCGAAAGCGUGGGGAGCAAACAGGAUUAGAUACCCCGGUAGUCC